Neocloeon triangulifer is the source of this 464-nucleotide long non-coding RNA. RefSeq lists it as uncharacterized. Lineage: Eukaryota; Metazoa; Arthropoda; Insecta; Ephemeroptera; Baetidae. The record is from RefSeq and is a predicted model, not a curated record. The transcript is spliced from 3 exons.
UUCCAGGACAGACUGCUCGGCCGGACCUGGUUGCAAAGGGUUCUUCCCUGAUUCUCAUCCCGAUUCGCACCAGUUGCAUUAAAAAAAAGGUUGUUUCUUUUGACGGAAGGUCUUGCAUGCCCUGGAGCUGCUCAAAGGACUCUUCCUCUCUGGCCCCAGGAUUUAAGGCUUUCAUGUUGAAUUGUUCUUUGUCCUCCACCUGCGCCUGAAGUUCCACCUUCGUGUUGCCCUGCCAGGGGGCGUGCUGAAGUACCCUGCUUCAGUGCGUCCUUGUGGACCGUACCCUGGGCUCAGGUCUUGUAGGAGGCCGAGUUGCAAAGCAAUCUGCUUCGACCGACGCUUUACUGAUUGAUUGCUGCCUUGACGAUCACGCCAGUCAUUAUGAAAAGGAGGCCGAGUUACAAUCAAUCAGCCCCGAUUGCCGCCGUGACUAAUACACCAGUCAAUAUAUGUUUUGGUAAGUU